CCUACGGGAGGCAGCAGUAAGGAAUAUUGGACAAUGCUCGCAAGAGUGAUCCAGCCAUGCCGCGUGCAGGAAGAAUGCCCUAUGGGUAGUAAACUGCUUUUGAACUAGAGAAAACCCCAGUACGUGUACUGGGCUGAUAGUAUAGUUAGAAUAAGCAUCGGCUAACUUCGUGCCAGCAGCCGCGGUAAGACGAAGGAUGCAAGCGUUAUCCGGGAUUCAUUGGGUUUAAAGGGAGCGUAGGUGGACUGAUAAGUCAGUGGUGAAAUCUCCGAGCUUAACUCGGAAAUUGCCAUUGAUACUGUUGGUCUUGAGUACAGUUGCUGUGGGCGGAAUAUGACAUGUAGUGGUGAAAUACAUAGAGAUGUCAUAGAACACCGAUUGCGAAGGCAGCUCACAAAGCUGUAACUGACACUGAGGCUCGAAAGUGCGGGGAUCAAACAGGAUUAGAUACCCUGGUAGUCCGCACCGUAAACGAUGAUUACUCGCUGCUAGGGGGCAACCUUUAGUGGCUUAGCGAAGCGAUAAGAAUCCACCUGGGAGUACGCCGGCAACGGUUGAAACGUCAAAGAGAGUUAGAGNGNGAGAGNGCGAGACGACACGAGGGAGGAGG
RNAcentral lists this ribosomal RNA (610 nucleotides) under uncultured bacterium. Its description in RNAcentral is "bacterial SSU rRNA". It matches the Rfam family "Bacterial small subunit ribosomal RNA", at positions 338 to 951 of the family's 1533-position model. The record is from RNAcentral.